RNAcentral lists this ribosomal RNA (500 nucleotides) under uncultured bacterium. Its description in RNAcentral is "partial 16S ribosomal RNA". It matches the Rfam family "Bacterial small subunit ribosomal RNA", at positions 30 to 523 of the family's 1533-position model. The record is from RNAcentral.
AUUGAACGCUGGCGGAAUGCUUUACACAUGCAAGUCGAACGAUGAACCUUAGCUUGCUAAGGGGAUUAGCGGCGAACGGGUGAGUAAUAUAUCGGAACGUACCUUGUAAUGGGGGAUAACUAGUCGAAAGAUUAGCUAAUACCGCAUACGCCCUGAGGGGGAAAGUAGGGGAUCUUCGGACCUUACGUUAUAAGAGCGGCCGAUAUCUGAUUAGCUAGUUGGUGGGGUAAUGGCCUACCAAGGCGACGAUCAGUAGCUGGUCUGAGAGGACGACCAGCCACACUGGAAAUGGGACACGGUCCAGACGCCUACGGGAGGCAGCAGUGGGGAAUUUUGGACAAUGGGCGCAAGCCUGAUCCAGCCAUUCCGCGUGAGUGAAGAAGGCCUUCGGGUUGUAAAGCUCUUUCGCAAGGGAAGAAAACUUACAUUCUAAUAAAGUGUGAGGCUGACGGUACCUUGAUAAGAAGCACCGGCUAACUACGUGCCAGCCGCCGCGGUAA